GAGCCCGUCGGACUCCGGCGACAAGGGCUCGCAACGGACCUCUAAUCCGCAGGUUGCAGGUUCGAGUCCUGCCGGGCGCGCCC
Molecule: transfer RNA, 83 nt
Filed under: uncultured Rubrobacteraceae bacterium
Lineage: Bacteria; Bacillati; Actinomycetota; Rubrobacteria; Rubrobacterales; Rubrobacteraceae
Description: tRNA-Pseudo-TCT
Source: RNAcentral